This 2878-nucleotide ribosomal RNA is filed under the name Escherichia coli. RNAcentral describes it as "bacterial LSU rRNA". It matches the Rfam family "Bacterial large subunit ribosomal RNA". Lineage: Bacteria; Pseudomonadati; Pseudomonadota; Gammaproteobacteria; Enterobacterales; Enterobacteriaceae. The record is from RNAcentral.
UUAAGCGACUAAGCGUACACGGUGGAUGCCCUGGCAGUCAGAGGCGAUGAAGGACGUGCUAAUCUGCGAUAAGCGUCGGUAAGGUGAUAUGAACCGUUAUAACCGGCGAUUUCCGAAUGGGGAAACCCAGUGUGUUUCGACACACUAUCAUUAACUGAAUCCAUAGGUUAAUGAGGCGAACCGGGGGAACUGAAACAUCUAAGUACCCCGAGGAAAGAAAUCAACCGAGAUUCCCCAGUAGCGGCGAGCGAACGGGAGCAGCCCAGAGCCUGAAUCAGUGUGUGUGUUAGUGGAAGCGUCUGGAAAGGCGCGCGAUACAGGGUGACAGCCCGUACACAAAAUACAUGCUGUGAGCUCGAUGAGUAGGGCGGGACACGUGGUAUCCUGUCUGAAUAUGGGGACCAUCCUCCAAGGCUAAAUACUCCUGACUGACCGAUAGUGAACCAGUACCGUGAGGGAAAGGCGAAAAGAACCCCGGCGAGGGGAGUGAAAAAGAACCUGAAACCGUGUACGUACAAGCAGUGGGAGCACGCUUAGGCGUGUGACUGCGUACCUUUGUAUAAUGGGUCAGCGACUUAUAUUCUGUAGCAAGGUUAACCGAAUAGGGGAGCCGAAGGAAACCGAGUCUUAACUGGGCGUUAAGUUGCAGGGUAUAGACCCGAAACCCGGUGAUCAGCCAUGGGCAGGUUGAAGGUUGGGUAACACUAACUGGAGGACCGAACCGACUAAUGUUGAAAAAUUAGCGGAUGACUUGUGGCUGGGGUGAAAGGCCAAUCAAACCGGGAGAUAGCUGGUUCUCCCGAAAGCUAUUUAGGUAGCGCCUCGUGAAUUCAUCUCCGGGGUAGAGCACUGUUUCGGCAAGGGGGUCAUCCCGACUUACCAACCCGAUGCAAACUGCGAAUACCGGAGAAUGUUAUCACGGGAGACACACGGCGGGUGCUAACGUCCGUCGUGAAGAGGGAAACAACCCAGACCGCCAGCUAAGGUCCCAAAGUCAUGGUUAAGUGGAAACGAUGUGGGAAGGCCCAGACAGCCAGGAUGUUGGCUUAGAAGCAGCCAUCAUUUAAAGAAAGCGUAAUAGCUCACUGGUCGAGUCGGCCUGCGCGGAAGAUGUAACGGGGCUAAACCAUGCACCGAAGCUGCGGCAGCGACGCUGAUGCGUUGUUGGGUAGGGGAGCGUUCUGUAAGCCUGCGAAGGUGUGCUGUGAGGCAUGCUGGAGGUAUCAGAAGUGCGAAUGCUGACAUAAGUAACGAUAAAGCGGGUGAAAAGCCCGCUCGCCGGAAGACCAAGGGUUCCUGUCCAACGUUAAUCGGGGCAGGGUGAGUCGACCCCUAAGGCGAGGCCGAAAGGCGUAGUCGAUGGGAAACAGGUUAAUAUUCCUGUACUUGGUGUUACUGCGAAGGGGGGACGGAGAAGGCUAUGUUGGCCGGGCGACGGUUGUCCCGGUUUAAGCGUGUAGGCUGGUUUUCCAGGCAAAUCCGGAAAAUCAAGGCUGAGGCGUGAUGACGAGGCACUACGGUGCUGAAGCAACAAAUGCCCUGCUUCCAGGAAAAGCCUCUAAGCAUCAGGUAACAUCAAAUCGUACCCCAAACCGACACAGGUGGUCAGGUAGAGAAUACCAAGGCGCUUGAGAGAACUCGGGUGAAGGAACUAGGCAAAAUGGUGCCGUAACUUCGGGAGAAGGCACGCUGAUAUGUAGGUGAAGCGACUUGCUCGUGGAGCUGAAAUCAGUCGAAGAUACCAGCUGGCUGCAACUGUUUAUUAAAACACAGCACUGUGCAAACACGAAAGUGGACGUAUACGGUGUGACGCCUGCCCGGUGCCGGAAGGUUAAUUGAUGGGGUCAGCGCAAGCGAAGCUCUUGAUCGAAGCCCGGUAAACGGCGGCCGUAACUAUAACGGUCCUAAGGUAGCGAAAUUCCUUGUCGGGUAAGUUCCGACCUGCACGAAUGGCGUAAUGAUGGCGCUGUCUCCACCCGAGACUCAGUGAAAUUGAACUCGCUGUGAAGAUGCAGUGUACCCGCGGCAAGACGGAAAGACCCCGUGAACCUUUACUAUAGCUUGACACUGAACAUUGAGCCUUGAUGUAGGAUAGGUGGGAGGCUUGGAAGUGUGGACGCCAGUCUGCAUGGAGCCGACCUUGAAAUACCACCCUUUAAUGUUUGAUGUUCUAACGUUGACCCGUAAUCCGGGUUGCGGACAGUGUCUGGUGGGUAGUUUGACUGGGGCGGUCUCCUCCUAAAGAGUAACGGAGGAGCACGAAGGUUGGCUAAUCCUGGUCGGACAUCAGGAGGUUAGUGCAAUGGCAUAAGCCAGCUUGACUGCGAGCGUGACGGCGCGAGCAGGUGCGAAAGCAGGUCAUAGUGAUCCGGUGGUUCUGAAUGGAAGGGCCAUCGCUCAACGGAUAAAAGGUACUCCGGGGAUAACAGGCUGAUACCGCCCAAGAGUUCAUAUCGACGGCGGUGUUUGGCACCUCGAUGUCGGCUCAUCACAUCCUGGGGCUGAAGUAGGUCCCAAGGGUAUGGCUGUUCGCCAUUUAAAGUGGUACGCGAGCUGGGUUUAGAACGUCGUGAGACAGUUCGGUCCCUAUCUGCCGUGGGCGCUGGAGAACUGAGGGGGGCUGCUCCUAGUACGAGAGGACCGGAGUGGACGCAUCACUGGUGUUCGGGUUGUCAUGCCAAUGGCACUGCCCGGUAGCUAAAUGCGGAAGAGAUAAGUGCUGAAAGCAUCUAAGCACGAAACUUGCCCCGAGAUGAGUUCUCCCUGACCCUUUAAGGGUCCUGAAGGAACGUUGAAGACGACGACGUUGAUAGGCCGGGUGUGUAAGCGCAGCGAUGCGUUGAGCUAACCGGUACUAAUGAACCGUGAGGCUUAACCU